RNAcentral lists this ribosomal RNA (906 nucleotides) under uncultured archaeon. Its description in RNAcentral is "bacterial SSU rRNA". It matches the Rfam family "Archaeal small subunit ribosomal RNA", at positions 21 to 903 of the family's 1478-position model. The record is from RNAcentral.
CCCUAUUGCUAUCGGGAUGAGACUAAGCCAUGCUAGUUGUGCGCUCCUUAGCUAUGUUAGGAGAGCAGCGUACGGCUCAGUAACACGUAGUUAAUCUACCCUUAGGAUGGACAUAACCCCGGGAAACUGGGGCUAAUAACCAAUAGAUGCAAAUACCUGGAAUGGCCUUGCAUUGAAAUGUUUUUGAAAACAUGCUUUUAAAAGCGCCUAAGGAUGAGACUGCGGCCGAUCAGGCUGUUGGUGGGGUAACGGCCCACCAAACCUAUAACCGGUACGGGCCCUGAGAGGGGGAGCCCGGAGAUGGGAACUGAGACAAGGUCCCAGGCCCUACGGGGCGCAGCAGGCGCGAAAACUCCACAAUGCGCGAAAGCGUGAUGGGGUUACCCCGAGUGCCGUCCGUUGAGGAGGGCUUUUCCCCAGUGUAAGGAUCUGGGGGAAUAAAGGGGGGGGAAAGACUGGUGUCAGCCGCCGCGGUAAUACCAGCCCCCUGAGUGAUAGGGACGAUUAUUUAGCCUAAAGCGUUCGUAGCCGGCUUAGCAAGUCUUUUGUUAAAUCUAACGACUUAAUCGUUAGGCCGCAGAAGAUACUACUAGGCUAGAGGGCGGGAGAGGUUGACGGUAGUCCCGGGGUAGGGGUGAAAUCCUAUAAUCCCGGGAGGACCACCAAUGGCGAAGGCGGUCAACUAGAACGCGCCUGACGGUGAGGGACGAAAGCUGGGGUAGCGAACCGGAUUAGACACCCGGGUAGUCCCAGCUGUAAACGAUGCGGGCUAGGUGUUGGGGCAGCUACGAGCUGUCCCGGUGCCGCAGAGAAGUCGUUAAGCCCGCCGCUUGGGAAGUACGGUCGCAAGGCUGAAACUUAAAGGAAUUGGCGGGGGAGCACCACAAGGGGUGAAGCCUGCGGUUC